Molecule: ribosomal RNA, 439 nt
Filed under: uncultured bacterium
Lineage: Bacteria
Description: bacterial SSU rRNA
Rfam family: Bacterial small subunit ribosomal RNA
Source: RNAcentral
AACGCGAAGAACCUUACCUGGGCUCGAAAUGUAGAGGAAUCCGGCAGAAACGUCGGCGUCUAGCAAUAGAUCUCUAUAUAGGUGCUGCAUGGCUGUCGUCAGCUCGUGUCGUGAGAUGUUGGGUUAAGUCCCGCAACGAGCGCAACCCUUAUCUUCAGUUGCUACCAUUUAGUUGAGCACUCUGACGAAACCGCCUCGGAUAACGGGGAGGAAGGUGGGGAUGACGUCAAGUCCUCAUGGCCUUUAUGUCCAGGGCUACACACGUGCUACAAUGGUCGGUACAAACCGUCGCAAACCCGCGAGGGGGAGCUAAUCGGAAAAAGCCGGCCUCAGUUCGGAUUGGAGUCUGCAACCCGACUCCAUGAAGCUGGAAUCGCUAGUAAUCGCGGAUCAGAACGCCGCGGUGAAUACGUUCCCGGGCCUUGUACACACCGCAUAC